AUACAGGAAGCCAAAAUGGAAGUCGCCAAAACGUUGAGCUUCAGAUUUCUUAUAUAAGACACAGUUUCUGUUAAACAAACCACCAGUCUUCUACAGACCACAACGUAAAAAUGAACAAGUCAGCACUUCUUCUUUUGCUCGUCAUCGGACUCCUCGUUCUUACUGAAACCACUGAUGCCUAUUGGGGUCGUCGUCGUCGUCGUAGAUAUAGCCAAAAGUCAACAAGUGUUGAAGAAAAUGAUGUAAUGAUGAAUGAAAUUAUGCGAAAAAUUAUUCAACAGGAUGAAUAAUUGCUUGCCCAUCCAGUGCAUUAUAAUAUGUUGAUUGAAUAAAUUCAAAAGCAACAUUAUUUGGCUUGUUUCUGUAUCUUCGCAGUGACCAAGGAAAUAUUUGUAUCAUAGAAAAUGACCUUGAAAAUAUAUUUUGACAAACAUUG
This is a non-coding RNA of Ciona intestinalis (vase tunicate), 436 nucleotides long. The record is from RefSeq and is a predicted model, not a curated record. Lineage: Eukaryota; Metazoa; Chordata; Ascidiacea; Phlebobranchia; Cionidae.